CCGUCCCGACAGCGCCGCUGUUGGCGCCCAGGCCUGAGUAGUUGCCUCCGAGCGCAUCGAUGCUGCCCGUCGAUCGAUCUUCGAGUAGCUGAUGCUCUCAGGGCUCCGGAAGCUCAAAACUGGAGAGCGUUAAAAUUUGCGGCAUGAACUGGACAGAUGGCUGAUGGGUAAUCACUGUACUCAUAUGACUGGACUAAUGAAUCACGUGCUAUAAAAGUCUCAGGUGAUAAGAGCAUUGUCUGGAAUGAAUGUACCAGAUCCUCAAGGAUUCAUUGUUGGCUUCUGAAGAAAUGGUGACUUUGCAAAUAUUAUUGCAGAAUUAAAGGCAUUCCUAAGAAUGAUUGUAGCAGCUUGAUAUUCAGGGGAGAUGCUGCACAGAUUUCAGAAAACACAUUUUAACAUCUAAGUAUUUGUGGGAUCAAGUAAAAAUAAGCCACUUUCCGGGGCUAAGUUUCCUCUCCUGUAAACCUAAAGAGAUGGAUGGCAUAACAGAAAAAAAAGUCCUACAACGGAUUUAUGAAGCAGACAUGGGCAUUGAGGUCUGGUCUUUCUAUCCAUGAAGACCUCAAAGAACGGACAACUGGUAGUAUUGUCUGCCAUAAACAGAUUCACAGAAGAAAGACUUGAGCAUCUGGAGACACUUCCAGAUGGUCACCUUUUCUAAAUCCCGCAUCUGUGACCCAGAGAGCAGUGCCAACCUUGCACGGCAACUCACACCUGUAAUCUCAGCACGAAGGAUGCUGAGACAGGAGGAUGCAAGUUGAGGACUGGCCUGAGUGAAAGAAAACAAAACAAAACAGAAAGCAAUUCGGAUUCAAUAUAGUAGAUUUAAGCUUUCUCUUGGUGUUGGAGAAGGUGUUAACCCAGGCAGUAGGUCACAUUUGGAACUGAAAUUCCACCCUUCAGAGCAUUCCACAGUAAUGGCUCCCCUCACAGCAGGAAUCUGUAUAGACGGAGCCCAACAUUAAUUCCACUCAUCAGGCUUUCUCAUAUUGCUGCUCCAAUCUUGGAUUUACUAGACCAAUGCUGCCGAAGACAAUAAAAUUCCCCUUUCCCUCCUUGGCUCCCAUGUGCUUUGACACUUGGUCUAAUCACAAAGACUGGGUUAUUGGUGACCAUACACAAAACAGAGCAGCCACACAAAUCAUGCUUUACUGCUGCAAUGUGGAAAUACCAAGGUUAAACGGUAAAUGUGGUGCAACUGUAUUGAUUAAUUGGUGGAGGAAAGGUCAAACUAAUCUUUAUCUUGCCUGAAAGAUUUGAGUUCUACAUGGCAGAUGUGUUGAAACGGUUUCUGUAGAAAAAGAUAAAAGAAAAUUGAACGCUUCAUGCAUAACAAGUAGGAGAAAUUUUUGCUAAACUAUCACUCAGAUAAAGGUCAGUAAAGGAGCUCUCAUGCAAAGGAAAUUGGGAAAUAAUAUCCAACAGUCUGAGCGUGAUUCAAACACCAAAAUGUUCAAGGGGGGCAAGUUAUUUAGAUUUCCUUUUAUUUGUAGUACAAUUUAUUGGAAACAUCUUCACCAAUGAAACAACCGGCAAAGGAUGACAGGUUAAGCAGUCACAUUGGAUUAGAAGAGCCCCAGACCCCAGGAGACCAGAAACAGAGUCCCAGUCCCCAGGAAACAGGAAGCCUGAAGCAGAGUUGUACUUUUCUGCUUCCAGGAGGGCCGGGAUCGCUCACAGCAGUAGACCUGACGCUGCUGCUCUCCAGAUGUCAAAGAGACACUGCCACUCAGAAGAUGGCGGUAUCACCAGGGCAUGAUGGGUGGGCAAAACCACCCCUUACUCCGCCCAACCUUCCUUCUUUUGGCCCAAGUGAAAUAAUAAAAGCUUGGUAGCUGAAGUGUAGAAUCAAUCCUGAGGAAAUAGAGAGGCACAAAUGGAAAAGGCUAAAGACCGAAUCCUUGCGUAGAGAAGGAAAAACGUCUAGGCAGUGUUAAGCUGAAUGGCUGUGUUGGCUGCCGGAAAGAAGGGAUGCACUACAGGGCAGAAUGGUUAUUAGAUGUGAGAGCUGGAGAUGGUUUUUCUCCUUCCACUUGUGUCUGAAAGGCUGAAAGUGUCUGAGGCUGGCAAGGCUAGACUUUGUUGUCGUCACAGCUUCAGGGCUUACUAUGAUAAAAGCUUACUUUUGGCCCCUGUGAGCACCUGUACAGUUAGAAAUUCUUCUUUCUUUGACAUCUGGGACACGUGCACCUGUUACUGCUGUUGACAUCAGCUGAGUGCUGUCACUUGGCCUUUGGCAAACUGCAAGGAGGUCUUGGAAACAUGCCAUAAAAAAGUGGCAUGUCUAGGUUUACCAUAGAACACUAGGGAUUUGGGCUUUCAUAAGGAAAAAAUUCCAACUGCAUUGUUAAAUAUCCGGGGGAGUUACCAGCGGAAUUUUGGAGAACUUUAUUACAUUUUCUUGUUGACACUGGGGACCCAAUCUUUCUCUGAAUUUGACUCUGUACACUUUAUACUUUUAUAAGUGUUUAUCUAUGUAAGCUACCUGUCUGGAACCAUUUUCUUAUACAACAGUUUAUCUUUUCACUUACGGACCAUGGAUACUUUUUUUUUUAUGUGAAGGAAGCAAAAUUGAAAGAACAAUAAACAAAAGCAGAAAAAGAAUGG
Peromyscus californicus insignis is the source of this 2610-nucleotide long non-coding RNA. RefSeq lists it as uncharacterized. The transcript is spliced from 3 exons. NCBI's taxonomy places the organism in Eukaryota, Metazoa, Chordata, Mammalia, Rodentia, Cricetidae. The record is from RefSeq and is a predicted model, not a curated record.